UUCUUUUUCAGACUUAAGGAAGAACAUUUUGUGCUCAAAAGCUCAUCUAAAAUCUCUCAUACUAUGUAGUUGAUCCAAGAAAAGAUAUUACCCCACCCCUGCAAAACAGUCUUAUCAUUUGCAUAUUUCUUAGACCAAGGGGGUAAAAAAGGCAAGUUGUGGAGUCCUAUAACUCAUAGCUGCAUCACCCAGGCCACAGCACAGCCUGCUGAAGGAGAACAUCAGGAACCUGCAAUCCAUGGGACGUCCAACAGUACAGCACAGGUAAGCAAUAAGGGGCCCACUGGGCAUCAGAGCCGGGGGGC
Molecule: long non-coding RNA, 305 nt
Organism: Gavialis gangeticus (Gharial)
Lineage: Eukaryota; Metazoa; Chordata; Crocodylia; Gavialidae
Exons: 2
Source: RefSeq, a predicted model, not a curated record